CCAACUUUGUAGCUUUUAGAAAAGGGUUACAAUGUGCAGGAUACAUAUCAAGUUUUUACAACCUGGACAUUGUUCAGCCAUGUACACAUCAAAUUAUAGAGAAGAAUGUUUGAUUAAUCACAUAUUUCUUCUUUUGCUCUCUUCUACCCUCCAGUAAAUGGACAUUUUACCGCUUCAUGUUUGAAAACAGUUAAUCCAUGCUAUUCACCUGCCUUGUUCCAGUUGACUGUCUGGAACUGUUUUUUUCCAGCCAGUUUCUAUAGUCAUAUGUUAUUGCUACCACAUUGGCAUGGGCAUGGCACAGUGCUGUCUUUGAAUUUGUGACUGACAUAAUCAUCCCAACAAGUACAGCUUUAUAUUCUCAAACAUGUCCACACAACCUGUGUGUUUCCAUUUCUAAAUGUGAUUGUCUUGAAUUUACCCCCAUAACUGUUAUCCUUCAUCUGUCAAGCACCUCUACUCAUGGUUUUUGAAGUUGCCAUUUGUAAGUCGCUUUGGAAAUAACUGUGUCUGUUAAAUGAUUAAAUGUAAAUGACUCGGUGUGCACUGAUGAUCCUGUCAGUUAUGAUAUGGAUUUU
Long non-coding RNA from Rhinichthys klamathensis goyatoka, 578 nucleotides. RefSeq lists it as uncharacterized. The transcript is spliced from 2 exons. The record is from RefSeq and is a predicted model, not a curated record. NCBI's taxonomy places the organism in Eukaryota, Metazoa, Chordata, Actinopteri, Cypriniformes, Leuciscidae.